GCGGAAAUGGCGGAAUUGGUAGACGCACCAGACUUAGGUUCUGGCGCCGUAAGGUGUGAGAGUGCAAGUCUCUCCUUCCGCACCA
Molecule: transfer RNA, 85 nt
Filed under: Vibrio parahaemolyticus
Lineage: Bacteria; Pseudomonadati; Pseudomonadota; Gammaproteobacteria; Vibrionales; Vibrionaceae
Description: tRNA-Leu
Rfam family: tRNA
About the family: Transfer RNA (tRNA) molecules are approximately 80 nucleotides in length.
Source: RNAcentral